Carica papaya (papaya) is the source of this 2124-nucleotide non-coding RNA. The record is from RefSeq and is a predicted model, not a curated record. Lineage: Eukaryota; Viridiplantae; Streptophyta; Magnoliopsida; Brassicales; Caricaceae.
CAGCCUUUCAUAGGAUUUGAAGGGGAGGUGGCUACAUGGUCUAUUACGCAUAAAUCAAAGAGGAAAUACGUCUUUAGCCAUGAAGAAUUGUUUAUAUAAUAACAUGUACAAGAAGGAGCUCGGAUUUUUGGUUUUGUAUGCCAUUGCUUUUUAUGCCUUCAUCAUCCAACGAUCACUUCUUCUAUCCCGCGAUCAUUAUCGUAAGCUGCCCGGUUUACGUCCUGGCUGGCUCUUUCAUCUUGGCUUCAGCGAUGCUUCUGAUGCUCAGUGGAGGAACUUCCGUGGAAAUUUACCAAUUCUUACUCUAGUUCUCACAAUUUUCACAGCAUUGGCUAAUAUGUCAAGGUCAUAUUUUCACUUAAAAGCCAAGGGAAUGUCAAUUGUUUGGCUUUUCAUAUCUAUGGUUUAUCUGUUGUACCUACAUGGAGCUUGCAUCAUAUUCAUCCUCUCCAUAGCUGCUGCUAAUUUCCUUUUGACUAAGAUAUUUGCACGCACAAAGUACUUCCCUUGGGCGCUUUGGGUGUAUAACAUAUUUUUUCUUCUAUGUAAUCGUGUUUACAAAGGAUAUUCUUUCACCCUUUUUGGGCAACGAUGGGCCUAUUUGGAUCAUUUCCGAGGCACAUUUAGAUGGCACAUUUGCUUCAACUUUGUUGUUUUGCGCAUGAUAAGCUUUGGAUACGAUUAUCAUUUGGCACAGCAAGAUUCUUGUUUUGAUCAGAAGAGGCAUAUUCAACGAUGCUGCAUUUGUAAGUCGGGAAAAAUUUGUAACUAUGUUCUUCAGGAGAGGAGUGUCCAAAGCAAAAAUUUGAAGUUUAGCAUAUACCUCUGCUAUUUGGUGUAUGCACCAUUAUAUAUUGCGGGUCCAAUAAUAAGCUUCAAUGCAUUUGCUUCUCAGCUAGAUGCGCCUCAAAAAAAUAAUUCACGUAGAGACAUAGCAUGGUAUGGAUUGCGUUGGGUCUUCACUCUUUUUCUCAUGGAACUAAUUACGCAUAUGUUUUAUUACAAUGCCUUUGCAAUCAGUGGCUUGUGGAGACAUUUAUCUCCUAUGGACAUAUUCAUCAUUGGAUAUGGGGUGAGAGAUCUUAAAUUUUAUGUGGCUAAAAUUUUCUCUCAUCUGGCGCUAUUUCCGCUUCUGGUCUCUGGUACAUUGGUCAGUGGUAUUGAAACCCCUGAAAACAUGCCGCGAUGCAUUAAUAAUUGCUACAACCUGGAAAGUUUUUGGAAAAAUUGGCAUGCUUCCUUCAACAAAUGGAUUGUGAGGUAUAUGUAUAUUCCUCUUGGGGGAUCUCAAAGAAAGCUGCUUAAUAUAUGGGUUAUAUUCACAUUUGUCGCCAUCUGGCACGAUUUAGAAUGGAAGCUUCUUUCAUGGGCAUGGUUGACAUGUUUAUUCUUUAUUCCAGAAUUGCUGGUGAAGUCAGCAUCAAAUACAUUCCAGGUUGAGAAUGCUUUUGGGGAAUUCGUCUUCCGAGAACUCAGUGCUUUUGCUGGUGCCAUCACAAUUACAUGUCUCAUGGUCUGUUUACAUUUAAACCGAGAUAAAAGUUGCAAACCUUGUUGGCUAUGUUAUUGGACCAUCGGGCAUUAAUUGGUUGAUCUCUCAAUUUCUUAGUAAAGAAGGGCUACCUAUCCUCGGUGGUAUGUUGAUAAGCUUCUACGUGGGGACGAAGCUCAUGUUCCACAUUCAUGCAGCUAAGGAGAGAAGAAAGUGAAAGAAGUUUUUCAUUUCACGUGGUUCAAGUUUCUUAGUUAAUGUUAGGUUAUGAUUAGUGUUUAAUUUCAUGAUAUUGUCUAAGAGUAUAUGCGUGCCUGCAUGGCAUAUCAAUGUAUUCCUUACAUGGAAAUUAGAGAUGAACAUGGCGUGUUGUAUUUGCAUAAAAGUUGGUUAAACAUCCUCCAUGACCAUAAAUCAUGUAGAAGGCCCUUUGGAAUUUCAUUGGAACUGUCCUAUUGUGGAUUAGGAAGUGAUGGAGAUUGCUUGACGAAAAAGAGCAUUUGGAGAUGUCCUACUGUAAUUUUAUUGUUUAUCCAUCAUUUUUUUGUCUUUUCCAGUUUUCUUUUUUUUUUUUUUUGGAUGUAUUUGAAACUCUCAUCCCUUUGGGUUAAUAAAUUAUUGUAAAUGACGAA